AUGAGGUCUUUUCACAUGCAUUCACAGAUCCAAAGUCCAGAAACUGCUUCAUGGAGAGCGGGAAUAGGGAGAAGCGUGAAUAGAAAUCCAUUGGCCCUGAAUGCUGCGUUCGGAGCCAGCACCAGAAUCUGGGUUUGGGCUGGGACCUGGGACUGGGCCCGGGAUGGCCAACAUGGCCUGUCGCAGGUACUUCAUAAACCUCAUUUCGGACCGCGAUCCAGAAGAAGCAAAGAAACAGCAGCCACUGACCUGGGAGCGCCAUCACGCGAGGUGCUUGCGAGCCGGAACACCAGGAAAGAAAAUGCCUUCUCCAACCACUUAUUCAGCACCUCUGGGGUGAGUGCUUGCCAAGUCUUCAUCCAUCUUUCAUCCAACUCUCAACUUUGGCUACAAGAAUCUGUAGCAUGCACAGCAGUCAUACCCAUAAAUAGAAAUUGUUUAGACAGACAGGCUAUAUCAGAUUGAGGGUGACUGAC
Molecule: long non-coding RNA, 476 nt
Filed under: Monodelphis domestica (gray short-tailed opossum)
Lineage: Eukaryota; Metazoa; Chordata; Mammalia; Didelphimorphia; Didelphidae
Description: lncRNA (ENSMODG00000045641.1)
Source: RNAcentral